AGAUUGAACGCUGGCGGCAUGCCUUACACAUGCAAGUCGAACGGCAGCACGGGAGCAAUCCUGGUGGCGAGUGGCGAACGGGUGAGUAAUACAUCGGAACGUGCCCAAUCGUGGGGAUAACGCAGCGAAAGCUGUGCUAAUACCGCAUAAGAUCUACGGAUGAAAGCGAGGGAUCGCAAGACCUUGCGCGAAUGGAGCGGCCGAUGGCAGUAGUUAGGUAGUUGGUGAGGUAAGGCUCGAACCAAGCCUUCGAUUCUGUAGCUGGUCUGAGAGGACCGACCAGCCACGACGUAGGGACUGGA
RNAcentral lists this ribosomal RNA (302 nucleotides) under uncultured soil bacterium. RNAcentral's name for it is "bacterial SSU rRNA". It matches the Rfam family "Bacterial small subunit ribosomal RNA", at positions 26 to 323 of the family's 1533-position model. The record is from RNAcentral.